This 520-nucleotide ribosomal RNA is filed under the name uncultured bacterium. Its description in RNAcentral is "partial 16S ribosomal RNA". It matches the Rfam family "Bacterial small subunit ribosomal RNA", at positions 28 to 523 of the family's 1533-position model. The record is from RNAcentral.
GACGAACGCUGGCGGCGUGCUUAACACAUGCAAGUCGAACGGAGAAUUUUACUUCGGUGAAAUUCUUAGUGGCGAACGGGUGAGUAACGCGUAGACAACCUGCCUCUUAGAUGGGGACAACAUCGCGAAAGCGGUGCUAAUACCGAAUGAAGUGGAGCUUCCGCAUGGAAGCAUCACCAAAGGUGGCCUCUAUUUAUAAGCUACCACUGAGAGAUGGGUCUGCGUCUGAUUAGCUAGUUGGCGGGGUAAUGGCCCACCAAGGCGACGAUCAGUAGCCGGUCUGAGAGGAUGAACGGCCACAUUGGGACUGAGACACGGCUCAAACUCCUACGGGAGGCAGCAGUGGGGAAUCUUCCGCAAUGGACGAAAGUCUGACGGAGCAACACCGCGUGAGUGAAGAAGGUUUUCGGAUCGUAAAGCUCUGUUGUUUGAGACGAAUGUGCAGACUUUGAAUAAGGGUUUGUAAUGACGGUAUUAAACGAGAAAGCCACGGCUAACUACGUGCCAGCAGCCGCGGUAA